Molecule: transfer RNA, 68 nt
Filed under: Ogcogaster segmentator
Lineage: Eukaryota; Metazoa; Arthropoda; Insecta; Neuroptera; Myrmeleontidae
Description: tRNA-Ile
Source: RNAcentral
AAUGAAGUGCCUGAUAAAAGGAUUAUCUUGAUAGGAUAAAUUAUACAUAUUUAAAUAUGUCUUCAUUA